This is a non-coding RNA of Triticum urartu, 117 nucleotides long. The record is from Rfam. NCBI's taxonomy places the organism in Eukaryota, Viridiplantae, Streptophyta, Magnoliopsida, Poales, Poaceae.
GUCAUACUCUCUUUGUCCGAAAAAAGCUUGUCCCUCAAAUGAAUGUAUCUAGCACUAACUUGAUGCUAGAUACAUUCAUUUGAGGGACAAGCUUUUUUCGGACAAAGAGAGUAUGAC